GUAGAGAAUACCAAGGCGAUCGAGUGAACCAUGGUUAAGGAACUCGGCAAAAUGCCCCCGUAACUUCGGGAGAAGGGGGGCCGGAUGCGUUACAUGGCUUGCCCAUGGAAGCGUUGAUGGCCGCAGAGACCAGGCCCAAGCGACUGUUUACUAAAAACACAGGUCCGUGCGAAGAAGUAAUUCGAUGUAUACGGACUGACGCCUGCCCGGUGCUGGAACGUUAAGGGGACGGGUUAGCUGGUUUAGGCCGGCGAAGCUUUGAACUUAAGCGCCAGUAAACGGCGGUGGUAACUAUAACCAUCCUAAGGUAGCGAAAUUCCUUGUCGGGUAAGUUCCGACCUGCACGAAUGGCGUAACGACUUGGGCGCUGUCUCAACCAUGGACUCGGCGAAAUUGCAUUACGAGUAAAGAUGCUCGUUACGCGCAGCAGGACGGAAAGACCCCGGGACCUUUACUACAACUUGGUAUUGGUGGUCGGUACAACUUGUGUAGGAUAGGUGGGAGACUGUGAAAUCCGGACGCCAGUUCGGGUGGAGUCAUCGUUGAAAUACCACUCUGGUUGUUCUGGCUGUCUAACUUCGGUCCAUUAUCUGGAUCAGGGACAGUGCCUGGUGGGUAGUUUGACUGGGGCGGUCGCCUCCUAAAAGGUAACGGAGGCGCUCAAAGGUUCCCUCAGCCUGGUUGGCAAUCAGGUGUCGAGUGUAAGCGCACAAGGGAGCUUGACUGUGAGACAGACAUGUCGAGCAGGGACGAAAGUCGGAACUAGUGAUCCGGCGGUGGCAUGUGGGAGCACCGUCGCUCAACGGAUAAAAGGUACCCCGGGGAUAACAGGCUGAUCUUCCCCAAGAGUCCAUAUCGACGGGAUGGUUUGGCACCUCGAUGUCGGCUCGUCGCAUCCUGGGGCUGGAGUAGGUCCCAAGGGUUGGGCUGUUCGCCCAUUAAAGCGGCACGCGAGCUGGGUUUAGAACGUCGUGAGACAGUUCGGUCCCUAUCCGCUGCGCGCGCAGGAGACUUGAGAAGGGCUGCCCCUAGUACGAGAGGACCGGGGUGGACGAACCUCUGGUGUGCCAGUUGUUCCGCCAGGAGCACGGCUGGUUGGCUACGUUCGGGAGUGAUAACCGCUGAAAGCAUCUAAGCGGGAAGCACGCUUCAAGAUGAGGUCUCCCACCGAGUUAAUCGGGUAAGGCCCCCAGUAGACCACUGGGUUGAUAGGCCAGAGGUGGAAGCGCCGUAAGGUGUGGAGCUGACUGGUACUAAUAGGCCGAGGGCUUGUCCC
Molecule: ribosomal RNA, 1276 nt
Filed under: metagenome
Description: bacterial LSU rRNA
Rfam family: Bacterial large subunit ribosomal RNA
Source: RNAcentral